Molecule: ribosomal RNA, 1260 nt
Filed under: Enterococcus faecalis
Lineage: Bacteria; Bacillati; Bacillota; Bacilli; Lactobacillales; Enterococcaceae
Description: bacterial SSU rRNA
Rfam family: Bacterial small subunit ribosomal RNA
Source: RNAcentral
GUUCGAGUUUGUCGCAGGCUCCUUUCCUCCCGAGUGCUUGCACUCAAUUGGAAAGAGGAGUGGCGGACGGGUGAGUAACACGUGGGUAACCUACCCAUCAGAGGGGGAUAACACUUGGAAACAGGUGCUAAUACCGCAUAACAGUUUAUGCCGCAGGGCAUAAGAGUGAAAGGCGCUUUCGGGUGUCGCUGAUGGAUGGACCCGCGGUGCAUUAGCUAGUUGGUGAGGUAACGGCUCACCAAGGCCACGAUGCAUAGCCGACCUGAGAGGGUGAUCGGCCACACUGGGACUGAGACACGGCCCAGACUCCUACGGGAGGCAGCAGUAGGGAAUCUUCGGCAAUGGACGAAAGUCUGACCGAGCAACGCCGCGUGAGUGAAGAAGGUUUUCGGAUCGUAAAACUCUGUUGUUAGAGAAGAACAAGGACGUUAGUAACUGAACGUCCCCUGACGGUAUCUAACCAGAAAGCCACGGCUAACUACGUGCCAGCAGCCGCGGUAAUACGUAGGUGGCAAGCGUUGUCCGGAUUUAUUGGGCGUAAAGCGAGCGCAGGCGGUUUCUUAAGUCUGAUGUGAAAGCCCCCGGCUCAACCGGGGAGGGUCAUUGGAAACUGGGAGACUUGAGUGCAGAAGAGGAGAGUGGAAUUCCAUGUGUAGCGGUGAAAUGCGUAGAUAUAUGGAGGAACACCAGUGGCGAAGGCGGCUCUCUGGUCUGUAACUGACGCUGAGGCUCGAAAGCGUGGGGAGCAAACAGGAUUAGAUACCCUGGUAGUCCACGCCGUAAACGAUGAGUGCUAAGUGUUGGAGGGUUUCCGCCCUUCAAUGCUGCAGCAAACGCAUUAAGCACUCCGCCUGGGGAAUACGACCGCAAGGUUGAAACUCAAAGGAAUUGACGGGGGCCCGCCAACCGGUGGAACAUGUGGUUUAAUUCGAACCACCCGGAAAACCUUACCAGGUUUGACAUCUUUGACCCUCUAAAAAAAAACUUUCCCUCCGGGACAAAUGACAGGUGUGCAAGGUUUCCUCAACUCUGUCUUGAAAUUUGGGUAAUUCCCCAACAAGCCAACCUUAUUGUAUUUGCCUCUUUAAUUGGCAUUUACGGAACUGCGGUGAAAACGGAAGAAGUGGGGUAACUUCAAUUCAACGCCCUUAAACUUGGUCCACCCGUUCCAAUGGGAAAUAACAAGUCCUUAACCCCGGGGUUGGAAUUCUUUAAAUUCUCAUUUUGAUAUAGGGGUACCCCUCGGAAACGGAAUUUUUA